Molecule: ribosomal RNA, 465 nt
Filed under: Vreelandella stevensii
Lineage: Bacteria; Pseudomonadati; Pseudomonadota; Gammaproteobacteria; Oceanospirillales; Halomonadaceae
Description: partial 16S ribosomal RNA
Rfam family: Bacterial small subunit ribosomal RNA
Source: RNAcentral
CCUACGGGGGGCUGCAGUGGGGAGUAUUGGACAAUGGGGGGAACCCUGAUCCAGCCAUGCCGCGUGUGUGAAGAAGGCCCUCGGGUUGUAAAGCACUUUCAGUGAGGAAGAACGCCUGGUGGUUAAUACCCAUCAGGAAAGACAUCACUCACAGAAGAAGCACCGGCUAACUCCGUGCCAGCAGCCGCGGUAAUACGGAGGGUGCGAGCGUUAAUCGGAAUUACUGGGCGUAAAGCGCGCGUAGGUGGCUUGAUAAGCCGGUUGUGAAAGCCCCGGGCUCAACCUGGGAACGGCAUCCGGAACUGUCAAGCUAGAGUGCAGGAGAGGAAGGUAGAAUUCCCGGUGUAGCGGUGAAAUGCGUAGAGAUCGGGAGGAAUACCAGUGGCGAAGGCGGCCUUCUGGACUGACACUGACACUGAGGUGCGAAAGCGUGGGUAGCAAACAGGAUUAGAUACCCCUGUAGUC